Molecule: ribosomal RNA, 492 nt
Filed under: uncultured bacterium
Lineage: Bacteria
Description: partial 16S ribosomal RNA
Rfam family: Bacterial small subunit ribosomal RNA
Source: RNAcentral
AGUGAACGCUGGCGGUAGGCCUAACACAUGCAAGUCGAACGGCAGCACAGUAAGAGCUUGCUCUUACGGGUGGCGAGUGGCGGACGGGUGAGGAAUACAUCGGAAUCUACUUUUUCGUGGGGGAUAACGUAGGGAAACUUACGCUAAUACCGCAUACGACCUACGGGUGGAAGCAGGAGAUCUUCGGACCUUGCGCGAUUGAAUGAGCCGAUGUCGGAUUAGCUAGUUGGCGGGGUAAAGGCCCACCAAGGCGACGAUCCGUAGCUGGUCUGAGAGGAUGAUCAGCCACACUGGAACUGAGACACGGUCCAGACUCCUACGGGAGGCAGCAGUGGGGAAUAUUGGACAAUGGGCGCAAGCCUGAUCCAGCCAUGCCGCGUGAGUGAAGAAGGCCUUCGGGUUGUAAAGCCCUUUUGUUGGGAAAGAAAAGCAGCAGGUUAAUCCCCCGCUGUUCUGACGGUACCCAAAGAAUAAGCACCGGCUAACUUCGUG